ACAGUCGGCCGGUCUGUCGCUUGCACCGCAGGGUGUAUGAGGAAAGUCCGGGCAACACAGAGCGCCUCCCUUCCUAACAGAAAGUUGUCCGCAAGGGUAAAGUAACGCAGAAGAAAAUAACCGCUGUGCCCUCGGGUGCAGUAAGGGUGAGAAGGUAGGGUAAGAGCCUACCGGCUUUGUGGCGACACAAAGGCCGUGCGUCUGGAGGGUUGUAAGGUCAUGUAAACCGACACAAACGAGGGUUGCUCGCCCCACGUCGGAGGGUAGACCGCUAAAGCACCAUGGUGACAUGUGGCUCAGAUAAAUGACAGACGGCUUACUUGGUAAGAGACAGAACCCGGCUUAUAGGCCGGCUGUAUUC
This 361-nucleotide RNase P RNA is filed under the name Bacteroides sp. RNAcentral describes it as "RNase P RNA component class A". It matches the Rfam family "Bacterial RNase P class A". From Rfam's summary of the family: Ribonuclease P (RNase P) is a ubiquitous endoribonuclease, found in archaea, bacteria and eukarya as well as chloroplasts and mitochondria. Lineage: Bacteria; Pseudomonadati; Bacteroidota; Bacteroidia; Bacteroidales; Bacteroidaceae. The record is from RNAcentral.